ACAUGCAAGUCGAGCGGACAGAUGGGAGCUUGCUCCCUGAUGUYAGCGGCGGACGGGUGAGUAACACGUGGGUAACCUGCCUGUAAGACUGGGAUAACUCCGGGAAACCGGGGCUAAUACCGGAUGCUUGAUUGAACCGCAUGGUUCAAUUAUAAAAGGUGGCUUUUAGCUACCACUUACAGAUGGACCCGCGGCGCAUUAGCUAGUUGGUGAGGUAACGGCUCACCAAGGCAACGAUGCGUAGCCGACCUGAGAGGGUGAUCGGCCACACUGGGACUGAGACACGGCCCAGACUCCUACGGGAGGCAGCAGUAGGGAAUCUUCCGCAAUGGACGAAAGUCUGACGGAGCAACGCCGCGUGAGUGAUGAAGGUUUUCGGAUCGUAAAACUCUGUUGUUAGGGAAGAACAAGUACCGUUCGAAUAGGGCGGUACCUUGACGGUACCUAACCAGAAAGCCACGGCUAACUACGUGCCAGCAGCCGCGGUAAUACGUAGGUGGCAAGCGUUGUCCGGAAUUAUUGGGCGUAAAGCGCGCGCAGGCGGUUUCUUAAGUCUGAUGUGAAAGCCCCCGGCUCAACCGGGGAGGGUCAUUGGAAACUGGGGAACUUGAGUGCAGAAGAGGAGAGUGGAAUUCCACGUGUAGCGGUGAAAUGCGUAGAGAUGUGGAGGAACACCAGUGGCGAAGGCGACUCUCUGGUCUGUAACUGACGCUGAGGCGCGAAAGCGUGGGGAGCGAACAGGAUUAGAUACCCUGGUAGUCCACGCCGUAAACGAUGAGUGCUAAGUGUUAGAGGGUUUCCGCCCUUUAGUGCUGCAGCAAACGCAUUAAGCACUCCGCCUGGGGAGUACGGUCGCAAGACUGAAACUCAAAGGAAUUGACGGGGGCCCGCACAAGCGGU
RNAcentral lists this ribosomal RNA (900 nucleotides) under Bacillus sp. 162B7_12AMannit. RNAcentral's name for it is "bacterial SSU rRNA". It matches the Rfam family "Bacterial small subunit ribosomal RNA", at positions 53 to 933 of the family's 1533-position model. The record is from RNAcentral. Lineage: Bacteria; Bacillati; Bacillota; Bacilli; Caryophanales; Bacillaceae.